CCUACGGGAGGCAGCAGUGAGGAAUAUUGGUCAAUGGGCGAGAGCCUGAACCAGCCAAGUCGCGUGAGGGAGUACUGCCCUAUGGGUUGUAAACCUCUUUUGUCGGGGAGCAAAAGCCGGACGUUUCCGGCUGUGAGAGUACCCGAAGAAAAAGCAUCGGCUAACUCCGUGCCAGCAGCCGCGGUAAUACGGAGGAUGCGAGCGUUAUCCGGAUUUAUUGGGUUUAAGGGGUGCGCAGGCGGAUUUUUAAGUCAGCGGUAAAAUCGUGGGGGCCAACCCCAUCCAGCCGUUGAAACUGGGGAUCUAGAGUGUGCGAGAGGUAUGCGGAAUGCGUGGUGUAGCGGUGAAAUGCAUAGAUAUCACGCAGAACCCCGAUUGCGAAGGCAGCAUACCGGUGCACAACUGACGCUCAGGCACGAAAGCGUGGGUAUCGAACAGGAUUAGAUACCCUGGUAGUC
Molecule: ribosomal RNA, 458 nt
Filed under: uncultured bacterium
Lineage: Bacteria
Description: partial 16S ribosomal RNA
Rfam family: Bacterial small subunit ribosomal RNA
Source: RNAcentral